GGCAACAUGGCCGAGCGGUCUAAGGCGCUAGAAUCAGGUGUGCGCCUAUCUAGUCCGAAAGGGCGUGAGUUCGAAUCUCACUGUUGUCA
Molecule: transfer RNA, 89 nt
Rfam family: tRNA
About the family: Transfer RNA (tRNA) molecules are approximately 80 nucleotides in length. Their secondary structure includes four short double-helical elements and three loops (D, anti-codon, and T loops).
Source: Rfam